Molecule: ribosomal RNA, 229 nt
Filed under: uncultured bacterium
Lineage: Bacteria
Description: partial 16S ribosomal RNA
Rfam family: Bacterial small subunit ribosomal RNA
Source: RNAcentral
UGCGUAGGUGGUUUUUUAAGUCAGUGGUGAAAGCCUACAGCUCAACUGUAGAGGUGCCAUUGAAACUGAAGAACUUGAGUAUGGACGAGGUAGGCGGAAUUUGUGGUGUAGCGGUGAAAUGCAUAGAUACCACAAAGAACACCAAUAGCGAAGGCAGCUUACUGGACCAUAACUGACACUGAGGCACGAAAGCGUGGGUAGCGAACAGGAUUAGAUACCCUGGUAGUCC